ACUCUGAGCUUUUCCUCUGGGAACAGAUCCCAGAUUAUUCCAGACUUAAGACAUGGAGAUAUAUCUUGCUAGAGUGUAAGAUGAAAGAGGACCUGCCCUCCAUUCUAUCUACUCCCUCUCUGCAAAGGCCAUUUUGAAGAUCUCAGUUUUACUGAAAGGGGUCUGCCACACAUAACUUCCCUGGUGUACCAGCAACAAGUGUUCAGUGGACCAUGGCAACACAAAGAAUGACGGAGGAGAGAAAAUGCCAUGCAGAAGUGAUAGUCAAGAUGAAGAUGUGGGAGAGGAGCAGCCCCCAGUAUAUAUUCAGUGUGUCCUCUGAAGUAACAACCAUCCCAUCUGGCUGAGAAGUGAUGGACACGGCUCCUUAACCACACUGUACCCUCUGUUCUUGGCACCUCUCUACCAGAAAGAUAUCAACAAAUUGGAUGGAAUUCAGAGAACAGUAAGAAAAAUGAUUAAAGAGAUGGAGGCAGUGACUUAUGAGGAAAGAUGAAAAGGACUAAAUCUAUGUAGCUUGGCAAAGCAACAACUGAGGUGGCGUAUGAAAACUGUCUACAAGCAUUUGAAGAAUAUAAACACCAAGGGAAGAGAGGGAACUUUUUAGAAUGGUCUGGGGAAUAAGCAGAGUAAGAGGACAGAAUUGAAGAAAGGAGAGAGAUAUGCUAAGUUGGGGGUGGGGGCGUUUUCUCAUCAAUUGUAAAUUUUGAUAAAUAACAAAAUUAAGUCUGGAGAGAAA
Molecule: long non-coding RNA, 739 nt
Organism: Homo sapiens (human)
Lineage: Eukaryota; Metazoa; Chordata; Mammalia; Primates; Hominidae
Gene: TUSC7
Product: tumor suppressor candidate 7
Source: Ensembl